This 847-nucleotide long non-coding RNA is filed under the name Malus domestica (apple). Its description in RNAcentral is "long non-coding RNA (MDOM_LNC012217)". The record is from RNAcentral. Lineage: Eukaryota; Viridiplantae; Streptophyta; Magnoliopsida; Rosales; Rosaceae.
AGGAAGGGAAGGAAAGUGCUUGGACGUGCAUGCUGUCCAACUUGGAUCGUUGGAGCGUUUAGGUGUUUUCUUUCUUUUGUUUUCAAUGUCUAAAUUUGUUUAUCUUUGCUUUGUAAGUAUGAGGAACUAAACCCUCCUUAGCUAGGGGGAAUUCGAAACCAUGUUCAUACUUGCAAUAUGAAUUGAUUACCUUCAGUUGUGAUUUCAUAAGUUGUGAAUUCAAUUUGUUUAAUUGCUUGAUUGAUAACUUAUUCGUGUAUAUUUAUUAAGAGUGCACACUUAGUUUGCAUGCAUGAAUAUGAUGAUAGAGUAUAAAGGAGUUUCACCUAAUAGUUCACAAGUAGUGGAGGUCGCUUAUAAACGAUCGCGUUAAAUGAAUUCUUGGCAGGAGUUUCAUGCUCAUCAUAGUAACGAAUGCCUCGUCAAUACUUAUAGUUUUCAUGAUGCUUAAUGAUCUUUGAUUGUAUCUUUAUUGUGCUGUUCACGUAAAGGACUUUUGAAGAAUGCUUGAAUUGUUGUAUGCGUUUUCCCAUCCAAUUCAAUUACUUAAGGAGAACUUGAAGGUUAAUUUAAGCGGACUUAAUUAACCUGGGGUGUUGAGUUUCAUGAUUGAUCAAAAGAACAACUGAAAAUUGGUUUAUGUGCAAGUAUGUCAUGUGUGGAGAAGAACCCUCUAGCUAGCCCAUCAUCCAUAGUUUAACCCAUCACCCAUCAAUUCACCUAAAUUUUUCUAAGAAUAUGUUUAAAUUGUUCUUUCUUUGUUUUCCUUAUUUUCGUCCAAAACCAAAAUCCCCUUUAUUUUAUUAAGUCAUAUUAGUUAGUACGUGUUUUAGAUUGUGUUUUUAAG